UCUCUCACUCCAAUCUACCGUUCCUUCUUCCCUUAACUGUGACUUGAACAACCCACGUUGUUCAAUGGCAGCUUGGGUUGGAGAUGAAAUAUGUGAUGGUGAGCACGGGGAAUAUUAAAACAAAAUAUAACUCUUACAGCACCCACACAUUGACCCUAAGUAAACUCUCCAGAGAUUAUUCUUCAACAUUUUAGGCCACAUUUGGUGAUAUUCUCCAGAACCUUCAAUAUCAUAUUAUUAUUUGCUUGUCCAGCAAUGAUUUGUAAAAUAAUGUACCAAAAGUGGAACACAAUUCUCUAAUAGCGGUUUUAAUCCUUUAAUCCAAGU
RNAcentral lists this long non-coding RNA (327 nucleotides) under Pan troglodytes (chimpanzee). RNAcentral's name for it is "long non-coding RNA NONPTRT014985". The record is from RNAcentral. Lineage: Eukaryota; Metazoa; Chordata; Mammalia; Primates; Hominidae.